UAUAAAAGCUUGGCUUUCCUCCUUCCUUCUCCCCCACAUUCCAGUUUUUCCCCUUAUAAUUUUACCACAAGGCAAUGCAGUCAAGCUUUUCUUGGAUCAUAUGAAUGUAGAUCAAUAAAUAUCAGUUGCAGAAUGGGAAUCUACGCAUAGGCAUGUGCUAGAAGGAUGAAAUAGUUAUGUUAGUUUAAAGGCACUUCAAAGUUUGUUUUGUUUUAUGUUUUCAGGGCACAAUGCCUAUGUUAUAUAGGUACCAAGCUGAAGUUGGAGAGGAAAGGAAAGCUCUUCCUGAAAAUGCAGUAGUGCUGGAAUGUGCUGUAGAGACUCAGAUUGUUUUUCAGCUCUAGAGGCAUGUAUGGGAAUGUAGCAACAAUGAGGAGACUUGGACCCAGCACAGAGGAGUCUGAACAACAGAAGUUUGUUGGAGACUGGCAAAUACCUGUCCUAGCAGCUAGUUGGCUGAUUUGUCUUCACUUUGGUCCAAACACAGGUUGGUAAGUUGCAGCUACACCCAGUUAGAAGCAUCAAAUUUGCUUAUAAAUCAAGGACCUCAAAGAAUUUU
RNAcentral lists this long non-coding RNA (559 nucleotides) under Ficedula albicollis (Collared flycatcher). RNAcentral's name for it is "lncRNA (ENSFALG00000018773.2)". Lineage: Eukaryota; Metazoa; Chordata; Aves; Passeriformes; Muscicapidae. The record is from RNAcentral.